RNAcentral lists this ribosomal RNA (530 nucleotides) under uncultured bacterium. RNAcentral's name for it is "bacterial SSU rRNA". It matches the Rfam family "Bacterial small subunit ribosomal RNA", at positions 355 to 883 of the family's 1533-position model. The record is from RNAcentral.
UGGGGAAUAUUGCACAAUGGGCGCAAGCCUGAUGCAGCGACGCCGCGUGGGGGAUGACGGCCUUCGGGUUGUAAACCUCUUUCACCAUCGACGAAGGUCCGGGUUUUCUCGGAUUGACGGUAGGUGGAGAAGAAGCACCGGCCAACUACGUGCCAGCAGCCGCGGUAAUACGUAGGGUGCGAGCGUUGUCCGGAAUUACUGGGCGUAAAGAGCUCGUAGGUGGUUUGUCGCGUUGUUCGUGAAAUCUCACGGCUUAACUGUGAGCGUGCGGGCGAUACGGGCAGACUAGAGUACUGCAGGGGAGACUGGAAUUCCUGGUGUAGCGGUGGAAUGCGCAGAUAUCAGGAGGAACACCGGUGGCGAAGGCGGGUCUCUGGGCAGUAACUGACGCUGAGGAGCGAAAGCGUGGGGAGCGAACAGGAUUAGAUACCCUGGUAGUCCACGCCGUAAACGGUGGGUACUAGGUGUGGGUUUCCUUCCUUGGGAUCCGUGCCGUAGCUAACGCAUUAAGUACCCCGCCUGGGGAGUAC